RNAcentral lists this ribosomal RNA (386 nucleotides) under uncultured bacterium. RNAcentral describes it as "bacterial SSU rRNA". It matches the Rfam family "Bacterial small subunit ribosomal RNA", at positions 30 to 418 of the family's 1533-position model. The record is from RNAcentral.
AUUGAACGCUGGCGGCAUGCCUUACACAUGCAAGUCGAACGGCAGCGGACCUUCGGGUGCCGGCGAGUGGCGAACGGGUGAGUAAUGCAUCGGAACGUGCCAUUGAGUGGGGGAUAACGUAGCGAAAGUUACGCUAAUACCGCAUAUUCUGUGAGCAGGAAAGCAGGGGACCGCAAGGCCUUGCGCUCUUUGAGCGGCCGAUGUCAGAUUAGCUAGUUGGUGAGGUAAAGGCUUACCAAGACGACGAUCUGUAGCGGGUCUGAGAGGAUGAUCCGCCACACUGGAACUGAGACACGGUCCAGACUCCUACGGGAGGCAGCAGUGGGGAAUUUUGGACAAUGGGCGCAAGCCUGAUCCAGCCAUGCCGCGUGAGUGAAGAAGGCCUU